AUAACCACAAAAUGACCACUCUGUUUCUGACGUGUAGGGAUCAGGUUCUGGUUGGUCAGUUUCUGUCUUGCCCACUAAAAUGAAAGACAAACAGACUUACCCUGGGCCUGUGAUGGGAGUAGCAGCCCUGAUGAUCUCUAAAAUGUCUGCGGGGAAUCGUUUUAUUUUAUUGAAAGAUAACUAUGUUCUCAACCUUCCUUCAUUGCAUUUGUGGCUUGCAGAAUGGCAGCUCUUACCAGAAACUGACCCUGUUGGGCCUUGAUCUGAAACUUCAAGCCUCCAGAAUGGAGUUACUGAUUCUGACCGAACUCAGUGGCUCAAUAAACAACUUUGCUAUCUCAGAAAAUCACCCUCUUUGCCAGCAAGAUGUUUGGAGUCAUUCCAAGAAAAAGAGAGAAAAAAAAAUUCUGGUCAAUGGAGAGACGGGACCACAUUGAAAGGUCUACAACCAAGCCUGAGAAGGUGAAGAUGACAUGCUCUACAUAUUCCACCUGUCAGUAUGACACCAGAGCAUCCUGGCCCCAUUGAAAAUUUCCAUGUUAUGAUGUCUAAUUCUUCAGGGUUUAUUGCUAAUGAUCAAGUUUUGCAUUGAAAAUGUAAGCUAGUUUCUUAAAUAGAUUAGAAAUGGGCUAAAACAGCUGUCUGAAUGUCACAUAUGGUCAGUCUUGUGGAGAUUAGGCUCAUAAUUCUAACAAUGGUUUCACUUUGAGAAUUAAUAAGCUUUGACUGUGAGGACUAAUGUUUGCUGCUUUCUCUACAGUCACAUUUUUCUUCCUUCAAUCCUCAAUGGCUGCAUUUCUCUCACUUUUUUGUUUAUUAUAAAGAACAUCUGUCAUUACACUUUAUAGUCUGGUAGUUACCAUCCUAAGUAAUAUGUAUUAGUCAGUAAAGAAUGGCUACUCCUGUAAAUUUGUAAAAGCUAAAAGCCACAGGGGAAAAAAUAGAAAUAGGCCAACAGAUCAUUCAAAAGCUGAAUUAAAGACCCACGUGCUUACAGGCACUGGUAUAUUACAAAGUUGGUAUUGUAUAUGGAGAGUUUAAAAGAUGAUAUUGGGAAAACUGGCUGAUUAUAUAGAUAAUAAGAAAUCUAGAUGCCCAUAUUGUACCUUACAAGAAGUUAAACAUUUAUUUUCAGCUUGUAUUUUAGACACGGGGGGUAUAUGUGCAGGUUUGUUACAUGGGUAUAUUGCACCUAGAUAGUGAGAAUACUACCCAAUAGUUAGUUUUUUGACUUGCGUCCCCCUCCCUCCACCCCCUUCCCCAGUAGCCUCACUGUCUAUUAUUCCCAUGCGCAUGUCCAUGUGUGCUCAAUGUUUAGUUCCUACUUGUAAGUGGGCACGUUCAGUAUUUGGUUUUGUGUUUCUUCGUUAAUUUGGUUAGGAUAAUGGCCUCCAUCUCCAUCUGUGUUGCUGUAAAAUACACGAUUUCCUUCUUUUUAUGGCCGUGUAAUAUUCCAUGGUGUAAAUGUGUCACAUUUUCUUUGUCCCACUGAUGGACACAUACAUUGAGAUAGAUUGAAAAUGAGUGAAAAGUAAUACUACAAUUCUAAUGAAAAUUUAGAAGCAUAUUUUCAC
RNAcentral lists this long non-coding RNA (1574 nucleotides) under Callithrix jacchus (white-tufted-ear marmoset). RNAcentral describes it as "lncRNA (ENSCJAG00000082839.1)". The record is from RNAcentral. Lineage: Eukaryota; Metazoa; Chordata; Mammalia; Primates; Cebidae.